AGCGAACGCUGGCGGCAGGCCUAACACAUGCAAGUCGAACGGAUCCUUCGGGAUUAGUGGCGGACGGGUGAGUAACACGUGGGAACGUGCCCUUUGGUUCGGAACAACUCAGGGAAACUUGAGCUAAUACCGGAUGUGCCCUUCGGGGGAAAGAUUUAUCGCCAUUGGAGCGGCCCGCGUCUGAUUAGCUAGUUGGCGAGGUAACGGCCCACCAAGGCGACGAUCAGUAGCUGGUCUGAGAGGAUGAUCAGCCACACUGGGACUGAGACACGGCCCAGACUCCUACGGGAGGCAGCAGUGGGGAAUCUUGCGCAAUGGGCGAAAGCCUGACGCAGCCAUGCCGCGUGAAUGAUGAAGGUCUUAGGAUUGUAAAAUUCUUUCAGCGGGGACGAUAAUGACGGUACCCGCAGAAGAAGCUCCGGCUAACUUCGUG
RNAcentral lists this ribosomal RNA (433 nucleotides) under uncultured bacterium. RNAcentral describes it as "partial 16S ribosomal RNA". It matches the Rfam family "Bacterial small subunit ribosomal RNA", at positions 29 to 507 of the family's 1533-position model. The record is from RNAcentral.